This is a non-coding RNA of Arachis ipaensis, 645 nucleotides long. The record is from RefSeq and is a predicted model, not a curated record. Lineage: Eukaryota; Viridiplantae; Streptophyta; Magnoliopsida; Fabales; Fabaceae.
AUCUUUUGUUUUUUCUCUUUUGGCUUCCACUUUAGUCUACUAUACUAUGAACACUGAAGUUCUUAACCCUUAAUUGAUCUCAACCCUUAACACUUGAAGAGUUUGAUAUUCCAACAACAACAAAAUCAGCAGCAACAACAAGUGGUACAAUAACUGAAAUUGGAACCUUCAUGACUCCACCACCAACAUCAUCUGACACUUCUACACAGCCACCAUCAAAGAAAAAGAGAAACCUUCCCGGCAACCCAGGCCCACAGAGCCGUUAGGAUGGUGGGCCGGCGACAUUAUAUUGGGCGGAAGGGAUGAGCUCGGCGGUGGCACAUGGUUGGGCUCCACCAGAGAUGGAACGGUGGCUUUCCUCACCAAUUUUAGGGAAGUUGAAAGCCUUCUGGAACCCAAGACCAGGGGAGACUUGACCAUCCGAUUCCUUCAGGUCACACACUCCAUCUGUUUGUUACUUUGUUUCUUAAGAUCUUGUUGCUUUGCAAAUUCAUGUGACUAUUUUCAUAUGGUACCAAUUUCAAAUAUAAUCUAAUAACUUCAUUUAUAUAUCUUACGCAAAUUGAGAAAAUGUUAGUGAUUUAGUUCAUGAGUGCAAGAAGAAGCCGAGAAAAAUAGAGCUUGCGAGAAAUAAUUCUCUUAGAU